GGGAGCCCAUGACGGUACCUUAAGAGAAAGCCCCGGCUAACUACGUGCCAGCAGCCGCGGUAAUACGUAGGUGGCAAGCGUUGUUCGGAAUUAUUGUGCUUAAAGGGGGCGCAGGCGGUUCUUUAAGUCUGGCGUGAAAGCCCCGGGCUCAACCUGGGAAUUGCGCUGGAGACUGCGGAUCUGGAGUGCGGNAGAGGNGGANGGAAUUCCNNGUGUAGCNGUGAAAUGCGUAGAUAUGCGGAGGAACACCGAUGGCGAAGGCAAUCCCCUGGGCCUGCACUGACACUCAGGCACGAAAGCGUGGGGGAGCAAACAGGAUUAGAUAC
This 326-nucleotide ribosomal RNA is filed under the name uncultured beta proteobacterium. RNAcentral's name for it is "bacterial SSU rRNA". It matches the Rfam family "Bacterial small subunit ribosomal RNA", at positions 461 to 785 of the family's 1533-position model. The record is from RNAcentral. Lineage: Bacteria; Pseudomonadati; Pseudomonadota; Betaproteobacteria.